This is a long non-coding RNA of Marmota monax (woodchuck), 1244 nucleotides long. RefSeq lists it as uncharacterized. The record is from RefSeq and is a predicted model, not a curated record. Lineage: Eukaryota; Metazoa; Chordata; Mammalia; Rodentia; Sciuridae. The transcript has 3 exons.
GCCCUGCCCCGACCCCGCCGCGCCCCGUGAGGCUCUUCCGGUUGAGGUCUGAGCGGUAGCGGCCUUCCUUCUCCCUGGAAACUGCCUCCCUUGGAGGUUGAGCUCCCUGGGCCGACUCUGGCCGGUGUUCUCCUCUGUGUCCUUGUGGGCUCUUAGGACUCCCUACAGGGAGGGUGUUUCCCCUGCCUCUUCCCAGCUAGUCUUUCUGACUUCCGGCAGCUGGCAUGCUCUGAACCUGGCUCUAGGCUUCCUGACACAGUGUCCCUUCCAGUCAGCUCUGAGUUGGGGCAGGGCCAGCCCCAGGGCAGGGCACCCAAGCAGGCAGGGAGCUGGCUGGGAGCCCUGGCUUUCUCUUGCCUGGUGCUGCGGGGCCACCAUUCACAGGUGCCAAGAAGACAGGGCACAGACCUCCUAAAACGAGGCCACACGUCCACCCCUCGUGGCGGUAAAGGUUUCCCAGUUCAGGCCACCUGCGCUCAGGUAAACUUACAGACCUGGAAGAAGCAUCGUGUCAGAAAGGGGAGGCUGGGCUGGGGCUCGGUGGGAGGCGUCCUAGCCUGGGUGAGGCGCUGGGUUCCAUUCUCAGCACCACAUAAAGUAAAGGUGCAACACCAGGGAGCACUGCCCUUGGCGAGCCAGCGGCUGACUGGGCCUGUUGGGUGCAGACGGGCCAUAGGACGUCCGUCAGGCCGCAGAGCAGCACUGGGUCCUGGUGUGCCUCUGUGGUCAGCUGGAGCCUUCCUGCUUCUGGGAGGUGCCCAGUUUUCUGGCUGUGAUAUCAGAGGUUGGGUUCCCCUCGAUCAUGGUUCCCCGUGGUUCAUGGUUUUCCAUCCUGACCCCGUUGCUCUCCUCCCAGCAGCCUGGGCCUCUCUGGCCUCCCUCUGACACGGCCUUGAGCGGCAGCCUGCAUGCUGCUCGUCCCUGGGCAGCGUCUUCCCAAUCACCACAUUGUUAAACUCGGGCACUAGACCUCUGAGCCACAUCCCAGCCCUGUUUUACAUUUUGUUUAGAGACAGGGUCUCACUGAGCUGCUCAGAGCCUCGCAGAGGCUGAGGCUGGCUUUGAACUCGCGAUCCUCCUGCCUCAGCCUCCCACACUGCUGGGAUUACAGGCUCUCAUUGCCCAGAGUCCUGCCUUCCUGGAUUUGGCCAAAGCCAAAAAGCAGAAGGACUGAAAACUUUCUCAUUAAGCAUCUUACGGUGCUUCUGAUGGGGCCUGAAACAGGAAGUUGCACGGUCUGCUGC